GCGGCGCGUGUGGAGGAAUCUGCCGGAGAAAUUUCUGGGGUUUGGUCGGAAUUCCGAGCCGAACCUCGUGGUGGUCUUGGAUUUUGCACAACACCAACAAAAAAGGUGGUUUAGUUCGGACAGCCUCUUAAGUCGCCGGAAAACACUGAUAAUUAGUGACUUUGACGUAAUUAGUCACUUAGGUCACCGGAAAAUUGCACGAUGACCGAGUUAUUUCUUCCCGGAUGUCGUUGGAAUGACGCACAACGAUAAUUAUCUCACCAAAGCUCUGAUCCCAUGUGAGAAAGC
RNAcentral lists this long non-coding RNA (288 nucleotides) under Nicotiana benthamiana. Its description in RNAcentral is "long non-coding RNA (NBEN_LNC013878)". Lineage: Eukaryota; Viridiplantae; Streptophyta; Magnoliopsida; Solanales; Solanaceae. The record is from RNAcentral.